Long non-coding RNA from Acyrthosiphon pisum (pea aphid), 1015 nucleotides. RefSeq lists it as uncharacterized. The transcript is spliced from 4 exons. NCBI's taxonomy places the organism in Eukaryota, Metazoa, Arthropoda, Insecta, Hemiptera, Aphididae. The record is from RefSeq and is a predicted model, not a curated record.
GUCGGGUAUCUAGUUUUUAUACAUAUCUGUGACACAGACAGAGAUUAUAUUAUUAUCUUGGUCCGUGUCCGUAAUAUUAUUAUAAUAUUAUAUCGUGUUAUUAAUAUUUUAGUCGUUGAAUUUUGAUUAAAAAUUAAUUCAACUUCGACGUUUAUGCUGGUUCAUUGGAGUACUGGACUUUGGAAACCUUUAAGACAUUCUGUACAUUGUGCUUUCAGUUGUGACGCAGACUGUUGCUCGGUGGAACGUAUCGUCGUUGUCGUUCAGGGCAGCGGAUUUUGACCGGUGCGUCGCGAUAGAAUUUAUGUGACCUCGACUUUACGGACCCCGUCAAGUCAAUACAAUUUUAUUUUUCUGGAAGUGCCAACAAAGAAAUCAUGUUCCGGAAGGCACAGUUUAUAAACCAACACUUUGGCAAUGUAAAUAACAACGUGACAGAACCUGCCUAUGAUCCAGUAAUCAAACCACCUCAGAAACCUCUAAUCCAGAGCAAUUCCUAGAUCCGAGGACUAUCAACCGUCUAUAAUGAUGGAUAAGGAUUUGUCCAUUACCAGCAUUAGUAUUUGAAAUGUGAGAAUCGUCUUUAUGGUUGUCCAGUAUCAGAAAAAAUUUCAACAAUUGAUGGAGGGUCGCCAAUACUAAUUUCUGCAACAUAAUAUAUUCAUAGCCAUGAACCUGUACCUAACUAUUCAGUGGCAUUGUGAGGUUUCAUGAAUAGACAGAGGGAAAUAGGUAAUGUGGAGAAUAUUGUUCCACAUAACAUAUUUGAGUAGGAGAUGCAUCUGUAAGCUGCUUAACAAAAAAAUAGCGAUAGAAGUGGGCCGUCCAAUAGAAAUGGGGCGUGAAUGUUGCGUUACGUGAAUAUUAUUAUCAAACGUGGGGUGACUUCUGACAACACUUCAACUAUGCCCAGAUCAAGAGCGUCCGCAGGAGUUUGUUAAAGGGAAGGCAAAAUAUUCUCCUUUUUACAUUUUUUGUCUUACUAUCCUAUAAGUUAUAAAGUAUUUUUGUGACA